Molecule: non-coding RNA, 677 nt
Organism: Dermacentor albipictus
Lineage: Eukaryota; Metazoa; Arthropoda; Arachnida; Ixodida; Ixodidae
Source: RefSeq, a predicted model, not a curated record
AUAAGGCUGAGCUCUGUUUUUCUUAAACAAUUUUGUUACGAAAUCUCUCAGGUCCGCUAUACAAAGGAAACACGGACGAGAUCGUCUGGCUGCUUUUUAGGUUGCGUUGUCGUAUACAAACCUACACACAGCAUAAAAGGUUAGCCUGCAAUACGUAGCAUGAUCCCGCGCGUUACAGAAAAAAACAUGUUCUACCCAAGAAGUCCAGGAGCGAGACCUGCCUUCCACGUCUGCUGCAUGGUGUUCUUGACAGCACGUUCCGCGAUCAACACUCGUAUCACCGCAGUGGCAGUGUUGCUCAUCUUCGUCUUGGCGGACACUGUAGCAUACAGCACCAUUCGCCAUGAAGUGAACCAAGGUGCACGCGCACAAUGGGGUCCACAGCAUUAUAGGAGAGGAACCUAUCGACGUCCUAGGCGUGCAAAAACCACACAUGCAUAUGACGGAGCAUUUGUGUGCAAGCGCAGAUGGUGCCAAUAAAAGACGGAAUCCAAUGCCUGGACAUAUAUUUCCAUGUGGUUCUCUGGAUACAAAUUGUUUUGUGUGCUCAGCGUGGGGCUGUCUCCCUGUUCUCAUUUGCCUAUUAUGCUCUUCGUCUGCGCAACACAGAACAGCCUGCAAGAACAAAUCCAGCGUGUUACUUUUCGAUGUAAAUAAAGUGAUUUUCUCUCUGUGAA